AUAGAUUGAGAUUGUAGCUGGCUUCUGUUAAUGAAGUAAUGUGCACAUCUCAUUUUGUUAUCCAAACUUUGUACCUCUGUGCACAUCGCAUGAGUUUGAGUUGUUAUUUGAAAAUAUGACAUAACGUAUCUCAGCUCAUGUGCUUUUAAUAUACACCUGUUUGUUUGAAGAAUGUUGUUAUUUUGUGCUUUAAUUGCAUGUAUAAAUAUAACUUUCAGCAACGGAUCUCUUGGCUCUCGCAUCGAUGAAGAACGCAGCGAAAUGCGAUAAGUAAUGUGAAUUGCAGAAUUCAGUGAACCAUCGAAUCUUUGAACGCACCUUGCACUCCUUGGUAUUCCGAGGAGUAUGUCUGUUUGAGUGUCAUGGUAUUUUCAACUCCUUUCACAUUUGUGUCAGGUAAGAUUGGACUUUGGAGGCUUGUUUUUGCUGGACCUUUUGGUUUGGCUCCUCUAAAUUUUAUUAGCUUGAACAGUAUGUUCACUAAGCAUGAUUUGGCAUGAUAAUAAGUUUAUGUCUUUUUAUGCUGAUGUGUUUCUAUUGAUUUCAAGCUUUUGCAAGAUGUCUCUUUUAUAAUUUUUUUGGAGACUCACUUUGAAACAUUUGACCUCAAAUCAGAUAGGACUACCCGCUGAACUUAAGCAUAUCAAUAAGCGGAGGAAAAGAAACUAACAAGGAUUCCCUUAGUAACUGCGAGUGAAGUGGGAAAAGCUCAAAUUUGAAAUCUGGCAGCUUUGUUGCCCGAGUUGUAGUCUAGAGAAGUGUUUUCUGUGCUGGACCAUGUACAAGUCUCUUGGAAUAGAGCGUCAUAGAGGGUGAGAAUCCCGUCUUUGACAUGGACUGCCAGUGCUCUGAGAUGCGCUCUCAACGAGUCGAGUUGUUUGGGAAUGCAGCUCAAAAUGGGUGGUAAAUUCCAUCUAAAGCUAAAUAUUGGCGAGAGACCGAUAGUGAACAAGUACCGUGAGGGAAAGAUGAAAAGCACUUUGGAAAGAGAGUUAAACAGUACGUGAAAUUGCUGAAAGGGAAACACUUGAAGUCAGUCAUGUUGGUCAGAACUCAGCCUGAUUUUUGUCCGGUGCAUUUUCUGAUUGACAGGUCAGCAUCAAUUUUGACUGCUGGAUAAAGACCUAGGAAAUGUGGCAUCUUUGGGUGUGUUAUAGUCUUUGGUCACAUACAGUGGUUGGGAUUGAGGAUCUCAGUAUGCCUUACAGGUCGGGGUUUACUCACGUUCAUACUUAGGAUGCUGGCGUAAUGGCUUUAAAUGACCCGUCUUGAAACACGGACCAAGGAGUCUAACAUACCUGCGAGUGUUUGGGUGGAAAACCCGAGUGCAUAAUGAAAGUGAAAGUUGGGAUCUCUGUCGUGGAGAGCACUGACGCCCGGACCAGACCUUUUGUGAUGGAUCUGCGGUAGAGCAUGUAUGUUGGGACCCGAAAGAUGGUGAACUAUGCCUGAAUAGGGUGAAGCCAGAGGAAACUCUGGUGGAGGCUCGUAGCGAUUCUGACGUGCAAAUCGAUCGUCAAAUUUGGGUAUAGGGGCGAAAGACUAAUCGAACCAUCUAGUAGCUGGUUCCUGCCGAAGUUUCCCUCAGGAUAGCAGAAACUCAUGUCAGAUUUAUGUGGUAAAGCGAAUGAUUAGAGGCCUUGGGGUUGAAACAACCUUAACCUAUUCUCAAACUUUAAAUAUGUAAGAACGAGCUGUCACUUGAUUGGACUGCUCGGUGAUUGAGAGUUUCUAGUGGGCCAUUUUUGGUAAGCAGAACUGGCGAUGCGGGAUGAACCGAACGCAAGGUUAAGGUGCCGGAAUGCACGCUCAUCAGACACCACAAAAGGUGUUAGUUCAUCUAGACAGCAGGACGGUGGCCAUGGAAGUCGGAAUCCGCUAAGGAGUGUGUAACAACUCACCUGCCGAAUGAACUAGCCCUGAAAAUGGAUGGCGCUCAAGCGUGCUACCCAUACCUUGCCGUCAGUGUUGAAGUGACACACUGACGAGUAGGCAGGCGUGGAGGUUUGUGAAGAAGCCUAGGCAGUGAUGCUGGGUGAAACAGCCUCUAGUGCAGAU
Molecule: ribosomal RNA, 2058 nt
Filed under: Flaviporus cf. brownii X462
Lineage: Eukaryota; Fungi; Basidiomycota; Agaricomycetes; Polyporales; Steccherinaceae
Description: eukaryotic LSU rRNA
Rfam family: Eukaryotic large subunit ribosomal RNA (bases 602-2058)
Source: RNAcentral